Molecule: ribosomal RNA, 633 nt
Filed under: Bacillus paralicheniformis
Lineage: Bacteria; Bacillati; Bacillota; Bacilli; Caryophanales; Bacillaceae
Description: bacterial SSU rRNA
Rfam family: Bacterial small subunit ribosomal RNA
Source: RNAcentral
GCGUGAGUGAUGAAGUUUCGGAUCGUAAAACUCUGUGUUAGGGAAGAACAAGUACCGUCGAAUAGGGCGGUACCUUGACGGUACCUAACCAGAAAGCCACGGCUAACUACGUGCCAGCAGCCGCGGUAAUACGUAGGUGGCAAGCGUUGUCCGGAAUUAUUGGGCGUAAAGCGCGCGCAGGCGGUUUCUUAAGUCUGAUGUGAAAGCCCCCGGCUCAACCGGGGAGGGUCAUUGGAAACUGGGGAACUUGAGUGCAGAAGAGGAGAGUGGAAUUCCACGUGUAGCGGUGAAAUGCGUAGAGAUGUGGAGGAACACCAGUGGCGAAGGCGACUCUCUGGUCUGUAACUGACGCUGAGGCGCGAAAGCGUGGGGAGCGAACAGGAUUAGAUACCCUGGUAGUCCACGCCGUAAACGAUGAGUGCUAAGUGUUAGAGGGUUUCCGCCCUUUAGUGCUGCAGCAAACGCAUUAAGCACUCCGCCUGGGGAGUACGGUCGCAAGACUGAAACUCAAAGGAAUUGACGGGGGCCCGCACAAGCGGUGGAGCAUGUGGUUUAAUUCGAAGCAACGCGAAGAACCUUACCAGGUCUUGACAUCCUCUGACAACCCUAGAGAUAGGGCUUCCCCUUCGGGGG